This 497-nucleotide ribosomal RNA is filed under the name uncultured bacterium. RNAcentral's name for it is "partial 16S ribosomal RNA". It matches the Rfam family "Bacterial small subunit ribosomal RNA", at positions 28 to 507 of the family's 1533-position model. The record is from RNAcentral.
GAUGAACGCUGGCGGCGUGCCUAAUACAUGCAAGUCGAGCGAACAGACGAGGAGCUUGCUCCUCUGACGUUAGCGGCGGACGGGUGAGUAACACGUGGAUAACCUACCUAUAAGACUGGGAUAACUUCGGGAAACCGGAGCUAAUACCGGAUAAUAUAUUGAACCGCAUGGUUCAAUAGUGAAAGACGGUUUUGCUGUCACUUAUAGAUGGAUCCGCGCCGCAUUAGCUAGUUGGUAAGGUAACGGCUUACCAAGGCAACGAUGUGUAGCCGACCUGAGAGGGUGAUCGGCCACACUGGAACUGAGACACGGUCCAGACUCCUACGGGAGGCAGCAGUAGGGAAUCUUCCGCAAUGGGCGAAAGCCUGACGGAGCAACGCCGCGUGAGUGAUGAAGGUCUUCGGAUCGUAAAACUCUGUUAUUAGGGAAGAACAAAUGUGUAAGUAACUAUGCACGUCUUGACGGUACCUAAUCAGAAAGCCACGGCUAACUACGUG